CAAAGCCAACCGGUUAGGCUUAGUGGCUCAACUUCGUUUCGAUUCAGUAGUGGUUGUUUGCAAUGUGCGGUUGGCGGUGGUGAUGGGGAUGCUGGUGGCCAGGGAAGCUUAUAAAGGUGGUGGCCAACAGAGAUACGGAGCUUUGGCGGUGGUGUUAAUGUCACGCUGUGUAUGUUAGCACUCCUGGCGGUGCAGGGGUUACGGAAAGUGAGAAGCAUACACAAACUGGUGCUCCACUGAAGAGUACAAUUAAGACAACCACAUAUUCACUUGUUGGCGGAAGACAGGAGAAGAUGAUUAGUUUGUGUGUGUUUGGGGCCGUAUUCACGAAGCUGUCCUAGGGAGUCUUAGCUAUGAAACGUGUCAUAGCUAGGACUAGAUGGUGCAUUCUUGUAAACUGCGCGAGUCUGCCGUAAAUUCUCGCGGGAUGCUACGGCUGGGUCCAUCCACCUCCCCGCGACUUGCAGAGUUGCCUAUAGUGGCGUUAACAAGCGUCCGCGUGAAAGGGCCAUAACUCCUUGGCCGUAAUCGUAUUUCCAAGAAUCCUGUAAUCAUCCUGCUGCUGACGGUGUCCUGGUGGUGGUGCAACUCGUCCCGGCGACAGAGGCUCCUCGCGGCGGGCGUGUGGCAGGUGAGCAAGCAGUCUGUGUGUGUCCGUCCCUGUUGCUCCUGGCGGGGAAAUGUUGAGGCUUGUGUCCGUGGUGUUUCCCCCAAUAAUGGAGCACUCACUCACUCAAACACACACACACACACACACACACACACACACACACACACACACACACACACACACACACACACACACACACACACACACACACACACACACACACACACACACACAGACACAUACACACACACACACACACACACACUAACCGGUGCAAGCACAAAUGGUCGCCAGUCAAUAUUUCCCGGGAGCAAUUCUGUGUGUUUGCAACAUCACAUUUCACCAUUUUUAUACAAGCUGCCGUUUCCGAUCAGUCUCUAUCUUUCUAAACAACAACCUGGUGGACAAAUACACAUUUCAGGUCGACGCCCGAACUGUGAUCCAUACAUCGCGCGGCCAGCAACAGCAAACGUAAAUAAAUAUGCUCCAACUUGGCGACGACCCAGCGAGAAAAAUACCAUCGUGAUAGCAGCCAUCGAGGCAUCAGCUUUAGGCGGGCGGCGCUGGGCAGGCCGGCGGGGAGAGGGUGGGGGGAGGCAAAAGUGUUAUUGUUGGAGUGGGGGUGGUCCUCGGGGGCUGGGGGAUGGGACGGAGGGACGGCAGGGGGCGGCUAGUGGUUGUGGCGUCGGGACUAUAGAGGAGAUAGGGAGGAGGGGUGAUGGGGCGGGAUAACCGAGGGAGGGGUGAGCGGUGCCUGGGGGGCGAGGGUGUUGUAAAAUGUUAAGGUAGUGUUGCCGAGGGCGUGUGAAGUGGUGUGAGGUGAGGCGGGAGAGGUGAGGAGGCCGUGAGGACCAGCCAGAAGGGCGCUGAGGGAGAGUUGAGGAAGGCACCAGCAGCUGUGAGGGCAGCGCGGCGGCGGGAGGCUCCGGCGUGGCCUGCGUCGUGAUGGCGGCGGCGGAGCUCACCGCGGCGCUCCGGUAGCGAGGUUGUGAAUGUCGUGCUCGCAAAAAAAAAAGUAACACUGUGGCAAUGAGCACAUUGCGUGGCUACUUAAUAAUGGCGACGGUCCCUCUGGUCAGGAUGUGGCAAGACCAGACACAGCAACGUCCUGCAUCGGAAUUCCGCGUCUUGGAGCCUUAAAUCAAUAUGGUAAUCCUUUUUUCAGUAUUUACUGGCGUGUUCCCAGGCAGGCCAGCCAACAGUGGGCCGCGGCCGUCGCUGCCGGCCGGCGACACUCGGCGACGCGAAAUUAUGGUUCCAUUUCAGAAAAUAGAAACCUCAAAUUUCAAUUAGCGACAUUUUAGAGCAAUUUGCAGAUGACUUAUUCACUUAUUGGCUACCUUAGUCGAUUGAGGAAAUUAAUUAGCAAGGAAUUCAUAUUUUGCAAGGUACGUCUGCAUUUAGGGAAAUUCAAUUUUAGCAAUUAUUCUCAAACUUGCAAAAAAAUAGCACAGGUUCUUUACUGGAAAUUCAGAUCGAUAGGAAUUGCAUAAAACAUCUACUUGAAGAAAAUUCCUUCACGUGGCGUGGGGUGGGCACCGCGGGACAACCUUGGGCCGCCCCUUGAAGGCGCUUGUGGCUUUCCCCCAGUGCUUGACACACAGAAAGCAAAGAAAAAUUAAUAAAAAUGCCAGAAAAAUAAGUUGAGGAGCAAAACUGACCAUCGGCCAAGAAUGUAAUUUUAAUUCUAUGAGUUCUGGCGCAGUGGAAACACCACGGCGCCGAAAAGCGUUAAGAGAAAGCUCUACUUCUCCCACCAAGAGAAAACGAAUACUUCCAUCCUUCUUCCAUUAUAUCCCGUAUGACGUAUCACGUGUCUCUGAGAGUCCUAAGCAAGCACAUGUACUCUCGUGAUCUCUGCUUGAGGAGGUGCUGCGGCGAGGAGCAUGUGGUAUCUUACAUCAGUUAAUCAAAGAAAGAUCAAGCCGAGAGACUUCCUCGUGUUUACUGUGAGUCUUUGUCCGUCUUCGUUCACUCCGACAGUCGGAAGACUCCAUGGCCAACUAAAGGAGGCGAGUCAUGUUAUGUUAUUGCUUUAAAAGAACAGAAGU
Molecule: long non-coding RNA, 2661 nt
Organism: Scylla paramamosain (green mud crab)
Lineage: Eukaryota; Metazoa; Arthropoda; Malacostraca; Decapoda; Portunidae
Exons: 2
Source: RefSeq, a predicted model, not a curated record